This is a long non-coding RNA of Ictalurus punctatus (channel catfish), 1114 nucleotides long. The record is from Ensembl. Lineage: Eukaryota; Metazoa; Chordata; Actinopteri; Siluriformes; Ictaluridae.
GGAAAAUUCAUCAACACCUUCUGACCAAUCAGAUCUCAGAAUUCAGCAGUGUUUUGUAAUUAACACUUUUAUUGAUUCACAAGUUAACACAAAUAGACAAACAACAUAUAUAAUGAAUCAAGAAUUCAGCAGUGUUUUGUGUCAGGCUGCAUCAUAUCCCCAAGGUAAAAUACCACAGCACAGCUGAAUUCUCAAAGUUUUAUAUACAAAAAGAUGAUUAUUUAAUUUGUAUGGGAAGAGUCUCCAGUGUCAGUCCUUUGUAACAGUCUGUAGGUUGAAUGUCAUGUUAUGAUUUAUUUAACACUGGAAUGUCUGGCCCGAACAGAGGUCAGUAAGCAUGAACUUGAAGAAUACUGGUAAUUAAAUUACUGACCUAUGACCUAGGGCCUUUUCUUUGUAUUUAUAUUGCUGAGUUAGCAGGACUGGGUUGCUGACCCUGGAUUUGUCUGUUCUUUGGGGUGAUAACAGGAACAUCACAUCACCCCACCACAUCGUUGUUUAUUUUCAUCACGUCCCAAAGUAUUUUAUUCCUCUUAUGGGCAGUGCAAAUAACUUUUUAUUUAUUAAAGAACAUUACACCCAUUUAUUUUAAAUAAAUGCUAAAUAAACAUCUCUAAAGAAGUGUUAUAGAUUUUUGUAGUAUCAUGUACUGUAUGCCACGAUUAGCUGAAUACGGUGAAAGAUCUGCCUAAUGUAACCCUAUGUUGUUAAAGCUAGUUGAGGCACUUUCACUGAUAUUAUGAACAACUAACGGAGGCAUAUUUUGUGCUGAUUCUUGUUCCCGAGCUACCCCUGCCUCUUGCUCUACUUUUCCCUACUGACCACAUUGCUGUCUGAUCUCAUCAGAUUUUCUUUUCCUUUUGGAAAGUCAAGAUAGUUUCAUAAAAGGUAGGAGCCUGAAGGCAUGUUAAUUCGUAGGAGAAAUCCAAGGUUUGCUUUAAGAGAACAGUGAUAUAACCAAUGUAAAUAGUCUCAGCAAAAAAUGAAAUGUCUUCUCACGUUCACCUGCUUUCAUUUCCAGCAAAUUUCCUUAACGUGCAAACAUUUGUAUUAAUUUUUAUUUUUUUAAAUUCAACAGCUGACACAAAUUGAACAAGUUUCACAUUCAUCUGAC